This 108-nucleotide small nuclear RNA is filed under the name Notamacropus eugenii (tammar wallaby). The record is from RNAcentral. Lineage: Eukaryota; Metazoa; Chordata; Mammalia; Diprotodontia; Macropodidae.
GUGCUUGCUUUGACAGCACAUAUACUAAAAUUUGGAAUGAUACAGAGAAGAUUAACAUGGCCCCUGUGCAAGGAUAGCACACAAAUUCAUGAAGGUUCCAUAUGUAUU